CCUCCCCAGCCCCCCGGCUUGGGGGUCUCCAGGGCUGCCGGUGGAGCCGGGCGAGGGGGCCCCGAGCCCCCGGGGGGGGUCUCCUCCCCCUGGGCUGGUGCCUGCCCCGGUGCCCCCGCGCGGCCCCAGCCCCCCCAGCCCGCUGCAGGAUCCGGCCCUCCCCAGCCUGGCAGCCCAGGAGCCGCAGCAAGGUGGGUGCCCGCAGCCCCCUGCCCGCUGCGUGGGGCUGGGGUGGGGGUCCUGCACGCUGCGCCCCCCAGCCCCAGCACCUGGGCUGGUGGGGGGGGGGCUCAGCCGUGCCCACAUCCCCCCAGGGACCAUCAGGGAACCCGAGCAGGAGCCAGCCCGGAGCGACUCGGGGCACAACGGCAUCGGGGACCUCGGGCACGGGGGGUGGCCAGCCCCCUGGGAGCAGGACCCCCCGGUGCAGGGGGAUGAGCCCAGUGACACCAUCCUGCCGGAGCCGCUGCACAAAGCCAAGCCAGGUACCGCUGCGCCCCCCCCGGCCCCCCCAUGUGUCCCGAGCCCCCUGGCCGGGCUCAGCCCUCACCCCCUCUUCCCCCCCAGGCUUCGCCCUGCUGCUGGCCCGCGAUGCCCCCCACCAGCAGCUGCCUGCCGGCAGCACCCCCCCAGCCGAGGACGAGGACCUCUCCCCCCAUGCUGUGUAGUGGGGGGGACAGCAGCACGCCGCCCCCCCCAGCACCACCUACUGUGCCC
RNAcentral lists this long non-coding RNA (717 nucleotides) under Anas platyrhynchos platyrhynchos (common mallard). RNAcentral's name for it is "lncRNA (ENSAPLG00000022287.1)". Lineage: Eukaryota; Metazoa; Chordata; Aves; Anseriformes; Anatidae. The record is from RNAcentral.